UAUAAAUAUCUUGUAUAUUUAUAAGAUUGGCAGUGUGGUUCUUGCUGGCUCUGGGUGACGAGAGAUCCCGAAAUCAAGAGAUUGAACCAAAAAACAACUCUUUUUAUAAGAGUUGUUUUUUUU
Non-coding RNA from Mycoplasma capricolum subsp. capripneumoniae M1601, 123 nucleotides. The record is from Rfam. Lineage: Bacteria; Bacillati; Mycoplasmatota; Mollicutes; Mycoplasmatales; Mycoplasmataceae.